RNAcentral lists this ribosomal RNA (426 nucleotides) under uncultured bacterium. RNAcentral's name for it is "bacterial SSU rRNA". It matches the Rfam family "Bacterial small subunit ribosomal RNA", at positions 354 to 796 of the family's 1533-position model. The record is from RNAcentral.
GUGAGGAAUUUUCCGCAAUGGGCGAAAGCCUGACGGAGCAAUGCCGCGUGAAGGAUGAAGGCCUAUGGGUUGUAAACUUCUUUUCUCAGAAAAGAAUUAUGACGGUAUCUGAGGAAUAAGCAUCGGCUAACUCUGUGCCAGCAGCCGCGGUAAGACAGAGGAUGCAAGCGUUAUCCGGAAUGAUUGGGCGUAAAGUGUCUGUAGGUUGUUUAAAAAGUAUUCUGUCAAAGAUUAGGGCUUAACCCUAGAUAGGCAGAAUAAACUUUUAAGCUAGAGUUUGGUAGAGGCGGAGGGAAUUCCCGGUGGAGCGGUGAAAUGCGUAGAUAUCGGGAGGAACACCAAAGGCGAAGGCACUCUGCUGGGCCAAUACUAACACUGAGAGACGAAAGCGAGGGGAGCAAAUGGGAUUAGAAACCCGAGUAGUCC